Molecule: ribosomal RNA, 465 nt
Filed under: uncultured bacterium
Lineage: Bacteria
Description: partial 16S ribosomal RNA
Rfam family: Bacterial small subunit ribosomal RNA
Source: RNAcentral
GAUGAACGCUGGCGGUGUGCUUAACACAUGCAAGUCGAACGGAAAGGCUCUUACUUCUUGGUGUACUCGAGUGCCGAACGCGUGCGUAUCACGUGUGCAUUCUGCUCUGCACUUUGGUAUAAGCCUAGGUAACUGGGCUUACUCUCGUAUAGCAUCCCACUUACGAUUGUGUGCUGGAAAGUUUUUCGGCUUGGGCUGAUCUCUCGGCCUAUGUGCUUGUUGGUGGGGUACUGGCCUAUCACGGCGUCGACGGGUAGCCCGCCUGGGAGGGGGUACGGCGACAAUAGGACUAAGAGACGGACCAGACUCCUACGGGAGGCAGCAGUGGGGAAUAUGGCACAAUGGGAGCGAGCCUGAUGAAGAGACGCCGGGUGGGGGAUGACGGCCUUCGGGUUGUAAAAAGCAUUAGCUAGGGACGAAGCGGAAGUGACGGUACCUAAAGAAGAAGCACCGGCUAACUACGUG